UCAACCUCUCAAGCUUGGCUUGUCGUUGGACCUUGCAGAUGCCGGUAAAUCGGCGGCGGUAGGUCUUCAACCUAGUGGCGGAGUUCGGUAUGGGCCCCGGAUACAACGAGCUCUCUAGCAUGUAUCAAGGUGGCCCGCCGGCCUAGCCUCGUCGAAAAGUCUUAACCAU
Molecule: unclassified non-coding RNA, 169 nt
Filed under: uncultured Ascomycota
Lineage: Eukaryota; Fungi; Ascomycota
Description: sequence contains ITS2
Source: RNAcentral